UGGCGACCGGCGCACGGGUGAGUAACGCGUAUGCAACCUGCCCGAUACCGGGGUAUAGCCCAUGGAAACGUGGAUUAACACCCCAUAGUACUUUUAUCCUGCAUGGGAUGUGAGUUAAAUGUUCAAGGUAUCGGAUGGGCAUGCGUCCUAUUAGUUAGUUGGCGGGGUAACAGCCCACCAAGACGAUGAUAGGUGGGGGUUCUGAGAGGAAGGUCCCCCACAUUGGAACUGAGACACGGUCCAA
RNAcentral lists this ribosomal RNA (244 nucleotides) under uncultured bacterium. RNAcentral describes it as "partial 16S ribosomal RNA". It matches the Rfam family "Bacterial small subunit ribosomal RNA", at positions 89 to 334 of the family's 1533-position model. The record is from RNAcentral.